This 327-nucleotide ribosomal RNA is filed under the name Triticum aestivum (bread wheat). RNAcentral's name for it is "partial small subunit ribosomal RNA". Lineage: Eukaryota; Viridiplantae; Streptophyta; Magnoliopsida; Poales; Poaceae. The record is from RNAcentral.
AUGGCGCUGCCCACCAUGGGCACGGUGACCACGCCGCCGAGUGCUGCAACCGGCAAAAUGCUGGAACCGGCUGAGCCCGGUGCUGCGACGAGGCGGCGAUUUUUGGUGUGGCGAAGUUUUUGCUGGAACCAGGGCACCAGGCAGCAGCGGUGCUACAACCAACAACAAAAUUUGCUGGAACCGGCGCCCGUCGGUGCUGGAACUGGACGCCCCCUCUCACCGUGGACAUUUUUUUUCUGGAACCAACUUUAUGUUUUGCGGGAACUUGCUACUUUUUUCGCUACAUCUACUUCUUUUUUGGAUUUUGCUUCCUGUGAUUUUUACUGA